CAGCCGCCGCGGUAAUACGAAGGGGGCUAGCGUUGUUCGGGAUUACUGGGCGUAAAGCGCACGCAGGCGGCUCGAUAAAUUAGAAGUGAAAGCCUUGGGCUUAACCUGAGAAUUGCUUUUAAGACUGUCGAGCUAGAAUCCAGAAGAGGGUAGUGGAAUUCCGAGUGUAGAGGUGAAAUUCGUAGAUAUUCGGAAGAACACCAGUGGCGAAGGCGACUACCUGGUCUGGCAUUGACGCUCAUGUGCGAAAGCGUGGGGAGCAAACAGGAUUAGAUACCCCCGUAGUCCCUGUCUCUUAUAC
Molecule: ribosomal RNA, 301 nt
Filed under: uncultured bacterium
Lineage: Bacteria
Description: partial 16S ribosomal RNA
Rfam family: Bacterial small subunit ribosomal RNA
Source: RNAcentral